This 77-nucleotide transfer RNA is filed under the name Mycoplasmopsis bovirhinis. RNAcentral describes it as "Mycoplasma bovirhinis tRNA-Met". It matches the Rfam family "tRNA". From Rfam's summary of the family: Transfer RNA (tRNA) molecules are approximately 80 nucleotides in length. Lineage: Bacteria; Bacillati; Mycoplasmatota; Mycoplasmoidales; Metamycoplasmataceae. The record is from RNAcentral. RNAcentral also lists the same sequence under 1 other name.
CGCGGAGUAGAGCAGUUUGGUAGCUCGUCGGGCUCAUAACCCGAAGGUCAUAGGUUCAAGUCCUGUCUCCGCAACCA